ACGAACGCUUGCGGCGUGCUUAACACAUGCAAGUCGAACGGAAAGGCCCUGCUUUUGUGGGGUGCUCGAGUGGCGAACGGGUGAGUAACACGUGAGUAACCUGCCCUUGACUUUGGGAUAACUUCAGGAAACUGGGGCUAAUACCGGAUAGGAGCUCCUGCUGCAUGGUGGGGGUUGGAAAGUUUCGGCGGUUGGGGAUGGACUCGCGGCUUAUCAGCUUGUUGGUGGGGUAGUGGCUUACCAAGGCUUUGACGGGUAGCCGGCCUGAGAGGGUGACCGGCCACAUUGGGACUGAGAUACGGCCCAGACUCCUACGGGAGGCAGCAGUGGGGAAUAUUGCACAAUGGGCGGAAGCCUGAUGCAGCAACGCCGCGUGCGGGAUGACGGCCUUCGGGUUGUAAACCGCUUUCGCCUGUGACGAAGCGUGAGUGACGGUAAUGGGUAAAGAAGCACCGGCUAACUACGUG
Molecule: ribosomal RNA, 467 nt
Filed under: uncultured bacterium
Lineage: Bacteria
Description: partial 16S ribosomal RNA
Rfam family: Bacterial small subunit ribosomal RNA
Source: RNAcentral